Long non-coding RNA from Mya arenaria, 2236 nucleotides. RefSeq lists it as uncharacterized. NCBI's taxonomy places the organism in Eukaryota, Metazoa, Mollusca, Bivalvia, Myida, Myidae. The transcript has 10 exons. The record is from RefSeq and is a predicted model, not a curated record.
UGUGAACUUUGCUGUGAAUGUUAUUUGGAACGUUAAUUCAUAGGUCGUGCAGUCCACCUCGGUGACCAUUUUCGACUAUCACAGCCCUGAUGAAAUGAUUUUAAUGAUCAAUUUUGACAAUGAUGGGGACUGAUUGCUGUACCUGUCUGGACCACUGGUGGACCAGAACUUUUCAACAUUGAUACCUUCGAGGGCAGCAUUUACGUCAUAAACAGUGAUCUUGUGAUGAACAACGGAACAACCUGAUUUGUUGUUUCGGGAGGAGGAUAUUGUUUUGGCGUUGUCAUCCCGUCCGUCUGGUACCAUAUCUUGAAAAACAAGGCCCAUCCACUGGAGUGUGUGAAUGAAGAGGAUGCCAUCUCCACCCGGAUCUCUGACUUCAUGAACCCGCAACCAGGUCAAACAUUGCCUUGACCUUUCACCAGAGUUCUAGGUAAGUCUGUGGCUAAGGAAGAGUUGAUUGUGAGCAGUUAUUUGUCAAAUUGAUAGUAUAUCAAUACCAAGUCUCAAAUCACACAGCUUAUUUUAUGUUUUACAGAAUGGUUCUAAAAAUAAAUGCUCAGAAAUUUUGUAAAAAUAUUGAAGCACAAUUCUAAAUAUCAAAAGAAAUUAAAGAUUCUAAGAAAUUUAUGAUCUUUUCUGCUGCAUGAUUAUAUUUUUAGAUAUAUAUAGACAAUGACAAAGUUUUAAGUCUUGGUCAGAGGACUAUUCCAAGUUAUGAUGUGAGUGAAAAAAACAAAAAACUUCAGUUGGAAACAUUUAGUUCAUUUAAUAAUGCCUAAUUCAUGUGUUUUUUGUGGUGCGGUUGUUCUACGGUCCACUGCUGAUGGCGGUUGAGGUGCCUUACAACAUUUCUGCUCAGUAAUUGACAUGGCAACAGUUUGACAUGUGACAGCCCAUGUACUUCACCAGCGGGCCUCUACCAAACCCCGACUCAACCAAAUGUCUGAAAAUCAUCCAUCUAGAUAUCAUAUAUUUCCAUGAGCUGCGGAUGUGAGGAGACAUUCAACCAGAACUGAUGGUCUGAGAUGUUCCCUGGAGACCUAGAUAUGUCACCCAAGUGAUCUGAUGAAUUCCAGUCCAACCCAGAGCCAAGAGGAGAAUGCUUUGCCCAAUUCCAGACAUGGAAUAUAUUCUAUCGCAGUUCAGAAGUUCUCCAAGAGCCUGUGAAAGCCACUUGUGGUCUUAACUCCUCUGCUAUUACGAUAAUCCGGCCCCUGCCCAGUUUUUCCAAUGGUACCCAGCUCUUCUACAAGACAAUUCCCGCCCUCAGUUACCCGCUUCUGAGACCGAUGAUCCUGGAAGUGGCUACACCCUCUUUCCACCAGAAGCCAUCCAAAAAAAUGUGGAUUUCACUGGGAACACAACAGUAGAGCCGGACAAACUAUGUGGAGACACACCAGUCUGCUUCCAGAGGGCCCUCACAACUACAGGGCCAGGUCACACCCAACAGCUUGACAAAACACCAGAAUAAAACAACAUGAGAUUAUAGGAAGUGGAGAAUAAUCAACUGUUGACAUUUCAAUCAUUGGCUGUAUUGUACUUGGUUAGUUGAGAAGGCACGCUCAUCACACGGAUGUACAAGUAGGAAUCGUUCAACCCUGACCUCAGAAAGGUUGUGGCCAAUGACGUUUAUACUCCCUUUGGCAAUGAAGUGCUAUGCAACGCGAACGCUGCACAUAUUCUUCGUGAUGUAAUCCAGAAAACAGAUGACAUAUGACUCGUUAUUGUGAUGAAGAACAGGUGUACCUCCAAGGUAGCCUGCCCAGACAGCCAUGUUACAGAAGGGCAGGCCAUUGUUAACCCUCACCCAUCAGAUGUGGACUUUCUGCCAGCUGUAUUGGCAUCACCACCACAAGAAACAAGUAUCAAUUUGCUGACGCCUUUAAUUCAGUGAACAAUCUACACAAACACAAUGCCUCUGUACAAGAUAACUGACGCAAGACGCAGUCAAAGAAAAUGUGUUAUUGCUGAGAGUUUGGACAGCUUUAAAACUAAAGCCGCAAAGAAGUUGGAAAUAGCUUGUGAUGUGAGCAGCCUUGUGGUUGUUUUUGAAAAUGAUGGGACCCUCAUCGACGAAGAUGAAAUCAUCCUGGAACUGGGGAAAGAAUCGUUAAUGAUUCUAACUCCAUCACAAAUAUGGACAGCAGCAAGAAAAGAUGAGAUGGAUGAACCGGCUCCCCAAAACGAAAGUACAGACAAUUACACCAUCAAUAUACAGGAGCAGAGCCAGCCA